GGGGUUGUAGCUCAGAGGUAGAGCACACAUCUAGUAUGCAUGAGGUACUGGGUUCAAUCCUCAGCAACACAU
RNAcentral lists this transfer RNA (72 nucleotides) under Ictidomys tridecemlineatus (thirteen-lined ground squirrel). Its description in RNAcentral is "Spermophilus tridecemlineatus (thirteen-lined ground squirrel) tRNA". It matches the Rfam family "tRNA". Rfam says of the family: Transfer RNA (tRNA) molecules are approximately 80 nucleotides in length. Lineage: Eukaryota; Metazoa; Chordata; Mammalia; Rodentia; Sciuridae. The record is from Rfam by way of RNAcentral.